UACGUAGGGGGCAAGCGUUGUCCGGAAUCAUUGGGCGUAAAGAGCGUGUAGGCGGCCCGGUAAGUCCGCUGUGAAAGCCCAGGGCUCAACCCCGGGAGGCGGGUGGAUACUGCUGAGCUCGAGUCCGGAAGAGGAGUGUGGAAUUCCUGGUGUAGCGGUGAAAUGCGCAGAUAUCAGGAGGAACACCAAUGGCGAAGGCAGCACUCUGGGACGGUACUGACGCUGAGACGCGAAAGCGUGGGGAGCAAACAGG
This 253-nucleotide ribosomal RNA is filed under the name uncultured bacterium. RNAcentral describes it as "partial 16S ribosomal RNA". It matches the Rfam family "Bacterial small subunit ribosomal RNA", at positions 524 to 776 of the family's 1533-position model. The record is from RNAcentral.